UGAGGAAUAUUGGUCAAUGGACGCAAGUCUGAACCAGCCAUGCCGCGUGCAGGAAGACGGCUCUAUGAGUUGUAAACUGCUUUUGUACGAGGGUAAAUGCAGGUACGUGUAUCUGUUUGAAAGUAUCGUACGAAUAAGGAUCGGCUAACUCCGUGCCAGCAGCCGCGGUAAUACGGAGGAUCCAAGCGUUAUCCGGAUUUAUUGGGUUUAAAGGGUGCGUAGGCGGUUUUAUAAGUUAGAGGUGAAAUCUCGGGGCUCAACUCCGAAAUUGCCUCUAAUACUGUAGGACUAGAGAGUAGUUGCGGUAGGCGGAAUGUAUGGUGUAGCGGUGAAAUGCUUAGAGAUCAUACAGAACACCGAUUGCGAAGGCAGCUUACCAAACUAUAUCUGACGUUGAGGC
RNAcentral lists this ribosomal RNA (400 nucleotides) under uncultured bacterium. RNAcentral describes it as "bacterial SSU rRNA". It matches the Rfam family "Bacterial small subunit ribosomal RNA", at positions 355 to 752 of the family's 1533-position model. The record is from RNAcentral.